Pantherophis guttatus is the source of this 525-nucleotide long non-coding RNA. RefSeq lists it as uncharacterized. NCBI's taxonomy places the organism in Eukaryota, Metazoa, Chordata, Lepidosauria, Squamata, Colubridae. The record is from RefSeq and is a predicted model, not a curated record.
GGGGCAAAGUAAGUCCCUUAAUAACCCACAAUAAACAAAAGGAGCUCUGGUGGCUCAGCAGACUAAAGCACUGUUAUUAACAUCCACUUACAUCUGCUGCCUGCAAUUACUGCAAGUUCAAAUCUCACGAGGCUCACUCAUCCUUUCUAAGAAAGAAGCUCUCUUUGAAUUUCUCCAGAUGAUGAAGACUCAGUCAUGUUUGGCCAUGCAUCAUCACUGUUUGUAAAUUGGACAGCAUUAUCAUGUUCUUUAUAAAUGGAUUGGACAGAAUGUGACUCAUGACCCAACUAGUGAAGCUUUUAGUCACCUUGAAUUAUAAAUUCUUCUUGAAGGACCACUAGGUUCAGAUGUUAGCAAAAGGAGAUUCAUUCAUAAGGAAAUGUAUCAUCACCUUCACUAUCUAAAUAAGGCUUAAGUAGGGAUUAAUUAAGUGUCUGAAAUUACCUUUUGUGCUGGUGUGAAUUUCACUGUACAUUAAUUUUAACUAGGAAGAAUGCAGGCUAAUAAAUCUGAACACUAAAAAUU